UACGUAGGGGGCUAGCGUUGUCCGGAUUUAUUGGGCGUAAAGAGCGUGUAGGCGGCCAGGUAGGUCUGCUGUGAAAACUCGAGGCUCAACCUCGAGAUGUCGGCGGAAACCAUCUGGCUAGAGUCCGGAAGAGGAGAGUGGAAUUCCUGGUGUAGCGGUGAAGUGCGCAGAUAUCAGGAAGAACACCCGUGGCGAAGGCGGCUCUCUGGGACGGUACUGACGCUGAGACGCGAAAGCGUGGGGAGCGAACAGG
RNAcentral lists this ribosomal RNA (253 nucleotides) under uncultured bacterium. Its description in RNAcentral is "partial 16S ribosomal RNA". It matches the Rfam family "Bacterial small subunit ribosomal RNA", at positions 524 to 776 of the family's 1533-position model. The record is from RNAcentral.